GCCUGUUCAGGCCCAGCUCCUCUGCUCCCUACAGCCCACUCUGUUCCAGGCACCUCACUCAUCAGCCCUGUUCUUAAGUGCCUCUGUUGGAACAGCUCAAGUUGUUCCCCGUGCCUAGAAUGCUUUUCUUCCUGCUCUCCUGCCUCUCCCCUUCCUACCACCCAUUAAGGAGUCUCAUUGCUGUGGUUACGAUUCAUAAAUAGCUACACCUAGUGAGCAUCAGCUCCAUGCCAGGGAUGAGACAAAGAGCUCUGUGCACAUGAUCUCAGGUGGCCUUCACUUG
This 283-nucleotide long non-coding RNA is filed under the name Pan troglodytes (chimpanzee). Its description in RNAcentral is "long non-coding RNA NONPTRT013748". The record is from RNAcentral. Lineage: Eukaryota; Metazoa; Chordata; Mammalia; Primates; Hominidae.